Molecule: small RNA, 336 nt
Filed under: Citrobacter farmeri
Lineage: Bacteria; Pseudomonadati; Pseudomonadota; Gammaproteobacteria; Enterobacterales; Enterobacteriaceae
Description: isrL Hfq binding RNA
Source: RNAcentral
UUUGCGACAUCGACCUGCUGGAUUUGGGCAUACAGUUUGCCAACCACUUCCGCGAUCGACGGAUGCCAGCUGACGGCGCGAUUGACCGCCUGGGGGAGGGUCAGUUCGCCGGGAGCGGCACUGUCGCCACUCAGCGGCAUCGGGCCAUCCAGCGCGGGCAAUUCCUGCUGUUCAACCCACUGCUGUGGGGCGAUGCGGGGCGUCUCCCCGGCAGCCAUGGCCGGAGCAGCGCACAGGUUUCCCGCCAGCCACCAGAAAGCAAGCUGUCGUGUUCCCAUUUUUCUUCCCUAAUUGAGCGUUGUUUUUUGCCCCAGGCGAACGUGCGCCCGGGGUCGU